This 254-nucleotide ribosomal RNA is filed under the name uncultured bacterium. Its description in RNAcentral is "partial 16S ribosomal RNA". It matches the Rfam family "Bacterial small subunit ribosomal RNA", at positions 524 to 775 of the family's 1533-position model. The record is from RNAcentral.
UACGAAGGGGGCUAGCGUUGCUCGGAAUUACUGGGCGUAAAGGGCGUGCAGGCGGUUUGUUAAGUGCAGGGUGAAAGCUCCCGGCUCAACUGGGAGAGGUCCUUGCAUACUGGCGAACUCGAGGGAGGCAGAGGAAAGUGGAAUUCCCGGUGUAGUGGUGAUAUGCGUAGAUAUCGGGAGGAACACCUGGUGGCGAAGGCGGCCUCCUGGGACGUAACCUGACGCUGAGACGCGAAAGCGUGGGGAGCAAACGG